This 222-nucleotide long non-coding RNA is filed under the name Prunus persica (peach). RNAcentral describes it as "long non-coding RNA (PPER_LNC008041)". The record is from RNAcentral. Lineage: Eukaryota; Viridiplantae; Streptophyta; Magnoliopsida; Rosales; Rosaceae.
GCGUGGUGGGAUAUUUUGGUUUUGUUUCAAACUUUGGUUAAAUCAAUAUUAAUUAAUGUUUUAUUUUUUAUUUUUAUAUUUGAAUUACUUUUAAAUACAUGUUGAAAAUUUGAGUGUUGUUAGGGACACCACCAUUCUAUAACCCAAAUAGAUCAUAUCAGUAAUUUUUUUUUUAUUGCCAUAUUUCCUUCAAUUUCCUUCUUUCUAUAUCUUAUGUUUUUG